Long non-coding RNA from Pipistrellus kuhlii (Kuhl's pipistrelle), 195 nucleotides. RefSeq lists it as uncharacterized. The transcript has 3 exons. NCBI's taxonomy places the organism in Eukaryota, Metazoa, Chordata, Mammalia, Chiroptera, Vespertilionidae. The record is from RefSeq and is a predicted model, not a curated record.
AGUUGGCAAUUAACUUGAUAACAAUAACAAUGAGGGAAUGUCUCGAGGCCAUUUGUUGUGCUCUGAGGGGUCCGGGGUAAAAAGGAAGUUACAAGUUACCCAGACAUCUCACAGAUAAGCUAUCUUAGAGGCUGGAAGGGCAGAUGGGCUCAAUAAAGAUCGAAGUUAAUCUUUGUCAGGGAAAACAUUGACCUA